GAGCCACCUCCCCUAAGGUUCCUGCCCGGGAUUAGAGAUGGCAACUCACCGGCCGGCUGAGUGAAACGGAGCCUCCAAGAGAAGCACUUCUGUGCAGAAAUGGCGGAAUAUGCUCAGGCUUUCGGACAGUAAUGAGGCAGCAGGAACACUUGCUUAUGUUUAAGGUUUGGAUAGAAUUCUGGCCAUUGUCUUGGAUGUAGCUGGGCUUGGUGACCAUUUCUGCAACUCUGCGGCUCCCCCAUCCUCUGUUGGGGUGUCCCUGCAGCCUCUUGCAGCUCCCCUUCUUACCUAAAGCUGGAGAAGCACCCCACUGCCACUAGGGAGCCAUGCAGUGCCAGCCCUGGCCUCACUGCUGGGUCCCGAGC
Molecule: long non-coding RNA, 365 nt
Filed under: Heterocephalus glaber (naked mole-rat)
Lineage: Eukaryota; Metazoa; Chordata; Mammalia; Rodentia; Bathyergidae
Description: lncRNA (ENSHGLG00100051920.1)
Source: RNAcentral